Molecule: small RNA, 444 nt
Filed under: Pan troglodytes (chimpanzee)
Lineage: Eukaryota; Metazoa; Chordata; Mammalia; Primates; Hominidae
Description: retained intron
Source: RNAcentral
UUCCGCUCGGGAAGUUUGUAAAGGUCUGGGCUACCGGCGCGGCGUAGUGGAUGCAGCAUCCUAGUUGAGGACGCCCCGCUGAUCUGCCCUCCUUGGCACUGUGCUUCCCCAGAGGGGUGGCCUCGCUGUUCCCAUGGACAUGGCCCAGGUGAGCCCUGCUGCUGCCGAGCGCAGCCUCCCUUCUGCCCUGCUGGCUGCCUGAGACCCCAGCACACACGCGGGGAGGGUCUGUGGCAGUGGCUUCCCAGGCACUGUGCCCGUGUCUGCCUUUCUGCCUUCUCUCUUAAGGGGCGGGGAAAGAAAAAGAAAAUUGGGGCCAGGCGCAAUGCCUCACGCCUGUAAUCCUAGCACUUUGGGAGGCUGAGGCAGGUGGAUCUCGAGGUCAGGAGAUCAAGACCAUCCUGGCUAACACGGUGAAACCCCAUCUCUACUAAAAAUACAAAA